UCAAGUUAUUAAGGGUGCAGGGCGGAUGCCUUGGCACUAGGAGCCGAUGAAGGACGUGAUAAGCUGCGAUAAGCUUCGGGGAGUUGCACGUAAACUUUGAUCCGAAGAUUUCCGAAUGAGGAAACUCACUUAGAGUAAUGUCUAAGUAUCAUUAAGUGAAUACAUAGCUUAAUGAGGGGAACUCAGGGAACUGAAACAUCUAAGUACCUGAAGGAAGAGAAAGAAAUUCGAUUCCGUAAGUAGCGGCGAGCGAACGCGGAUUAGCCCAAACCAAUAAAGUUUUCUUUAUUGGGGUUGCGGACAUAUCAUAACGGAGAGGUAUCGUAAUUGAAGAGGUUUGGAAAGACCCACCACAGAAGGUAAUAGUCCUGUAUGUUAAAUGAGAAGACUUUAGAUAUGAUCCAGAGUACCACUGGACACGUGAAACCCUGUGGGAAGCAGGAGGGACCACCCUCCAAGGCUAAAUACUACCUAGUGACCGAUAGCGUAUAGUACCGUGAGGGAAAGGUGAAAAGAACCCCGGGAGGGGAGUGAAAUAGAACCUGAAACCCUGCACUUACAAGCUGUGGAAGCACAUUUCUUGUGUGACCGCGUACUUUUUGUAGAACGGGCCAACGAGUUACGUUAAGUAGCAAGGUUAAGCACUUAAGGUGCGGAGCCGUAGCGAAAGCGAGUUUUAACUGAGCGUUCAGUUACUUGACGUAGACCCGAAACCGGGCGACCUACCCAUGAGCAGGAUGAAGCGAAAGUAAAAUUUCGUGGAGGUCCGAACCCACGAGCGUUGAAAAGCUCGGGGAUGACUUGUGGGUAGCGGUGAAAUUCCAAUCGAGCCCGGAGAUAGCUGGUUCUCCCCGAAAUAGCUUUAGGGCUAGCCUCAAGGUGAGAGAUACGGAGGUAGAGCACUGAAUGUCCUAGGGGGUAUUGCACCUACCGAAGACUAUCAAACUCCGAAUGCCGUCAUCUUAUACUUGGGAGUCAGACUGUGGGUGAUAAGAUUCAUAGUCGAAAGGGCAACAGCCCAGAUCGUCAGCUAAGGUCCCUAAAUGUAAGUUAAGUGGUAAAGGAUGUGGGAUUGCACAGACAACCAGGAUGUUGGCUUAGAAGCAGCCACUCAUUCAAAGAGUGCGUAAUAGCUCACUGGUCGAGUGAUCCUGCGCCGAAGAUUUCCGGGGCUAAAACUUACUACCGAAGCUACGGCAUCAGUAAUGAUGGGUAGGGGAGCUUCCCAUACGGGUUGAAGCAUGACCGUAAGGACAUGUGGACAGUAUGGGAGUGAGAAUGUUGGCAUGAGUAGCGAGAUGUGGGUGAGAAUCCCACAGGCCGUAAACCCAAGGUUUCCAGGGGAAGGUUCGUCCGCCCUGGGUUAGUCGGGACCUAAGCUGAGGCCGAAAGGCGUAGGUGAUGGACAACAGGUUGAUAUUCCUGUACUACCGAUAACCGUUUGAGAGAAGGGAUGACACAGUAGGAUAAGCUAAGCACACUGUUGGUUAUGUGUGCCCAAGCAUUGAGGCAGUCAAAGUAGGCAAAUCCGCUUUGAUAAUGCUGGGAUGUGAUGGGGAGCGAAAUUUAGUAGCGAAGUAGCUGAUUUCACACUGUCAAGAAAAGUCUCUAUCGAGGUUAAAGGUACCCGUACCGCAAACCGACACAGGUGGGUGAGGAGAGUAUCCUAAGGCCAGCGAGAGAACUGUUGUUAAGGAACUCGGCAAAAUGACCCCGUAACUUAGGGAUAAGGGGUGCCACCAUCAGGUGGCCGCAGAGAAUAGGCCCAAGCGACUGUUUACCAAAAACAUAGGUUUCUGCUAAGUCGCAAGACGAUGUAUAGGAGCUGACGCCUGCCCGGUGCUGGAAGGUUAAGGGGAUCUGUUAGAGCAAUCGAAGCAGUGAACUUAAGCCCCAGUAAACGGCGGCCGUAACUAUAACGGUCCUAAGGUAGCGAAAUUCCUUGUCGGGUAAGUUCCGACCCGCACGAAAGGCGUAACGAUUUGGGCACUGUCUCAACAACAGACUCGGUGAAAUUGUAAUUCCGGUGAAGAUGCCGGAUACCUGCGACAGGACGGAAAGACCCCAUGGAGCUUUACUGUAGCUUGACAUUGGGUUUUGGUACUACAUGUACAGGAUAGGUGGGAGGCUUUGAAACCAGGACGCCAGUUUUGGCGGAGCCAUCCUUGGGAUACCACCCUUGUAGUACUGGGACUCUAACCAUAGGCCAUGAAUCUGGUCUUGGGACACUGUCAGGUGGGCAGUUUGACUGGGGCGGUCGCCUCCC
RNAcentral lists this ribosomal RNA (2266 nucleotides) under Clostridioides difficile. Its description in RNAcentral is "bacterial LSU rRNA". It matches the Rfam family "Bacterial large subunit ribosomal RNA", at positions 3 to 2291 of the family's 2925-position model. The record is from RNAcentral. Lineage: Bacteria; Bacillati; Bacillota; Clostridia; Peptostreptococcales; Peptostreptococcaceae.